GUGGGGAAUAUUGGACAAUGGGCGAAAGCCUGAUCCAGCCAUGCCGCGUGUGUGAAGAAGGUCUUCGGAUUGUAAAGCACUUUAAGUUGGGAGGAAGGGCAGUAAGUUAAUACCUUGCUGUUUUGACGUUACCGACAGAAUAAGCACCGGCUAACUUCGUGCCAGCAGCUGCGGUAAUACGAAGGGUGCAAGCGUUAAUCGGAAUUACUGGGCGUAAAGCGCGCGUAGGUGGUUCAGCAAGUUGGAGGUGAAAUCCCCGGGCUCAACCUGGGAACUGCCUCCAAAACUACUGGGCUAGAGUACGGUAGAGGGUAGUGGAAUUUCCUGUGUAGCGGUGAAAUGCGUAGAUAUAGGAAGGAACACCAGUGGCGAAGGCGACUACCUGGACUGAUACUGACACUGAGGUGCGAAAGCGUGGGGAGCAAACAGGAUUAGAUACCCUAGUAGUCC
This 450-nucleotide ribosomal RNA is filed under the name uncultured bacterium. RNAcentral describes it as "partial 16S ribosomal RNA". It matches the Rfam family "Bacterial small subunit ribosomal RNA", at positions 354 to 796 of the family's 1533-position model. The record is from RNAcentral.